This 1058-nucleotide ribosomal RNA is filed under the name Pseudomonas sp. Its description in RNAcentral is "bacterial SSU rRNA". It matches the Rfam family "Bacterial small subunit ribosomal RNA", at positions 22 to 1074 of the family's 1533-position model. The record is from RNAcentral. Lineage: Bacteria; Pseudomonadati; Pseudomonadota; Gammaproteobacteria; Pseudomonadales; Pseudomonadaceae.
GCUCAGAUUGAACGCACUGGCGGCAGGCCUAACACAUGCAAGUCGAGCGGUAGAGAGAAGCUUGCUUCUCUUGAGAGCGGCGGACGGGUGAGUAAUGCCUAGGAAUCUGCCUGGUAGUGGGGGAUAACGUUCGGAAACGGACGCUAAUACCGCAUACGUCUACGGGAGAAAGCAGGGGACCUUCGGGCCUUGCGCUAUCAGAUGAGCCUAGGUCGGAUUAGCUAGUUGGUGAGGUAAUGGCUCACCAAGGCGACGAUCCGUAACUGGUCUGAGAGGAUGAUCAGUCACACUGGAACUGAGACACGGUCCAGACUCCUACGGGAGGCAGCAGUGGGGAAUAUUGGACAAUGGGCGAAAGCCUGAUCCAGCCAUGCCGCGUGUGUGAAGAAGGUCUUCGGAUUGUAAAGCACUUUAAGUUGGGAGGAAGGGCAGUUACCUAAUACGUGAUUGUUUUGACGUUACCGACAGAAUAAGCACCGGCUAACUCUGUGCCAGCAGCCGCGCUAAUACAGAGGGUGCAAGCGUUAAUCGGAAUUACUGGGCGUAAAGCGCGCGUAGGUGGUUAGUUAAGUUGGAUGUGAAAUCCCCGGGCUCAACCUGGGAACUGCAUUCAAAACUGACUGACUAGAGUAUGGUAGAGGGUGGUGGAAUUUCCUGUGUAGCGGUGAAAUGCGUAGAUAUAGGAAGGAACACCAGUGGCGAAGGCGACCACCUGGACUGAUACUGACACUGAGGUGCGAAAGCGUGGGGAGCAAACGGGAUUAGAUACCCUGGUAGUCCACGCCGUAAACGAUGUCAACUAGCCGUUGGGAGCCUUGAGCUCUUAGUGGCGCACGUAACGCAUUAAGUUGACCGCCUGGGGAGUACGGCCGCAAGGUUAAAACUCAAAUGAAUUGACGGGGGCCCGCACAAGCGGUGGAGCAUGUGGUUUAAUUCGAAGCAACGCGCACACCCUUACCAGCCUUGACAUCCAAUGAACUUUCUAGAUAUAGAUUGGUGCUUUCGGUAACAUUGAGACAGGUUGCUGCAUGGCUGUCGUCAGCUCGUGUUGUGAAAUG